RNAcentral lists this long non-coding RNA (1539 nucleotides) under Equus caballus (horse). RNAcentral describes it as "lncRNA (ENSECAG00000055856.1)". Lineage: Eukaryota; Metazoa; Chordata; Mammalia; Perissodactyla; Equidae. The record is from RNAcentral.
AUUUCCUCCCAGAGUAGGGCUCUUCCAGUUUAGGAAGGCUCCCGGGGCUGGCAUUGCUGCAUAGCUCAACCCCCAGGCAUCUGUUUACCACUGUCACAGCAGUUCACUCAAACUGUGCACUCUCUAAAUAAAGACCUUGCUUUGAUUAUAAUUUCCAUGAACAUGAAAACUCCCAAGUCUUAAUCCUGAAAGAAGGAGGCCAUUUCCAGCAGUCGGAAAAGAUUACAGUCCAGGUAAAAAGGAUGCUCGACUACCCUAAUCUUGUGGGUUGUGUCCUGUGGGCUGGUUUUGGCUGGAAUUCUACAGGUGAAAUGACUGCAGCCUUCUGUCUGCGAGGAGCCUUUGUUAUCUCCACAGGGGAAGAUUAGCCCUGAGCUAACAUCUGACAAUUCUCCUCUUUUUGUUGAGGAAGGCUGGCCCUGAGCUAACAUCCAUGCCCACCUUCCUCUACUUUAUAUGUGGGACACCUACCACAGCAUGGCUUGACAAGUAGUGCCAUGUCCACACUCGGGAUCUGAACCAGCGAACCUCGGGCCACCAAAGUGGAACGUGUGCACUUGACCGCUGCACCACCAGGCCAGCCCCUCUAACAAUAAUUUUUAACGAGUUAAUGCAGCUGCAAAAUUCACACUCCAAUCAGUCCACCCCUACAGUGCCAUGGAGAGAAGGAUUGGAAUGAUUUUGAACCACCUAAAUUUGGAGAUGUGGAACAAAUAGUGUCUGUUUAUUUAGUGAUAAAUUGUAGGUGGGCUGUGUCCUGCCACCUUGACCCAAAGGUGAGCUAGCUCAGCAUUGCAUCAGCAGAGAUUUUGUUUUUAGGUGCUGUUUUUUCCAUUUUGAAAGCAAUAAAAUGGCAGCCUGUGAACAAGAGAGGGAGUAAAGAGGAAAAUAUGUGACCCGAUAAGGAGUUUAUACAACGAUUCUGCCUUUGACUAUAAUAAACUAUACUAUAAAAAGUGCUAUAAAUUUAAGAAAAAGAUAUUUUUUUCCUGUUGGGAAAAAAAAAGGAAAUAGAGAAAGAGAUCAAAACAGUGUUUGAAUUUUUGAAAUCCUUUAGACAGCUAUGCCAGAUAGUCAAUAACACUGACAGCAGAAGCCUUCCCAAACUAGAGUCAACUGUGAGAUUAAAUGGUCUUGCAAGGAUUAUCUUAUUGUAAAACCUCCUAGAAGAUAAAUGGAAUUUUCUAUAAGUAGUCAGUAUUAACCUGUUUGCUAAAUUGAAUAGAGAAUGCCAGGCAGUUAGAAAAAUCUAAGAAAAGAGCCUUGAAUUGUGAGCCAGGAGACCUUGGUUUUAAUAUCUCUCCUAAACCAAAUUCCUGGUUAUUCUGAUGGCUGGGACUUAAUUUAACCCACUGAGUCUAUAUCUUACUGGAUUACUCGCUCUCUAAGUCUUUUCCAACUUCAAUAUGUCCAUAUCUCAGUAGCCUAUCGCUGGUCUCCUCAGUCAGAUAUAGGCAUUUCUAGCUACUAAGGAGUGGAGGUAUUGGGUCAUCAUUUAUGUCAGUCUUAAGUAGCAGUAGUCACAGCAGCCACACCUGC